RNAcentral lists this ribosomal RNA (264 nucleotides) under uncultured bacterium. RNAcentral describes it as "partial 16S ribosomal RNA". It matches the Rfam family "Bacterial small subunit ribosomal RNA", at positions 1228 to 1500 of the family's 1533-position model. The record is from RNAcentral.
CAAUGGCAGGUACAGAGGGGUGCUACCGGGUGACCGGAUGCCGAUCUCGAAAACCUGUCCCAGUUCGGACUGGAGUCUGCAACCCGACUCCACGAAGUUGGAUUCGCUAGUAAUCGCGCAUCAGCCAUGGCGCGGUGAAUACGUUCCCGGGCCUUGUACACACCGCCCGUCAAGCCAUGGGAGCCGGGGGCGCCUGAAGUCCGGGACCGCGAGGACCGGCCUAGGGCGAAACUGGUGACUGGGGCUAAGUCGUAACAAGGUAGC